UUGAAAAAGGCUUUUCACCGGCCACCUACAGCCAAAACGCACAGUUUUUUGCCAAAAUAAGUCGCAUGCACAACAUGCUUAGUGUCUCUUCCUCUUCCCUGGAUGGAUGGGUCCUUCUCUUUAUAAUCCCAUCUCUCUCUUUUCACUUCUUUCUGUCCUCUCUCUCUCAAUGUUAUGGGAGAGAUUUUUAUUGUAAUUUUUAGAGAGGGAUAUCUCGGUGGGAUUGUGCCUAAGAGGACAAGCGCUUCUCAUCUCUCUCAACCACCCAUUUUGUUCAAAGAUGUUAUGGCGAAACUGCCCUUGAUGCUCAUCAGAUCCCUUGUAAAUCGGAGGUCAUUUUGGGUGUUUAAAAGAAUUAUAAGCUAUGGUGAGGAAGAAGAAUAAUUAAUAUUACACUAUAUUGCAACCUCUCUCCCACUCUCGCUCUACAACAUUUUCCUUCACUGAGUAGAAACUUGGCAGACAGGAUGGAGCCAGGCAAUUGUAGAUUUUGAGGAAGAAGAAAGGAGAGCAGUACUGCAACAAGCGCCAUUCAUCAUUCUGUAGCAUAUGGGUUGGAGAAUCUGAGUAUUAUAUAUUUAUGUAUGUACAUCAGAACUUUAAUUUUCAUGUCAUAUAUUAUGAGAAUUGUUGUCGCUUGUUCUUCCCAUUUUUAUUAAUAGAUAUUAUUAAUAUUGAAUACUGCUUUGAUAUAAUUUAUGCAAUUCCUUUAUAUUUAA
Molecule: long non-coding RNA, 719 nt
Organism: Mangifera indica (mango)
Lineage: Eukaryota; Viridiplantae; Streptophyta; Magnoliopsida; Sapindales; Anacardiaceae
Exons: 2
Source: RefSeq, a predicted model, not a curated record